UCAUCUCGCUCCGGGAGAGAGAGUCAAUCCUAGUUUUAAAAGAUACUGGAAAUUCGUUGCGACUAUGGCUAUAGAAACAGAAGAAAUGCAGUUAUCUGAGUCCUUUCAGCCUAACACUCCCUGCUUUGGAACAUUUGGUUCCAGUCAGGAGGCACAAAUGAGGGAGCAGGGAAAUCAGUGGCGGGCCUGUGCCUUUCUUUGCUCUGUAGACAGCCAGAGGACCCAGAGGAAGUCGACAUUUCGUUCCGUCAAGGUGACUGAGACCAGUGGCUGCUUCUAAGGAUCAAGUGGCACAUGAACAAAUGGGAACAAAGUACACCCUUGUCUAGUAUUUGUCUAAAACUAACAAUAAUAGCAAGUCUUGAAUUGAGUUCUUCCUGGCUAUAAGGCACCACGCUAGGUGUUUCAAAUACUCCUCACUUCAUCCUCACUACAACCUUGCAAUUACCUCCAUUUUACAGUUGAGGAAACUGAGUCAGGAGAGGUUAACUAACUUGCACAAGAUCACACAGCUAGGAAGAUGCAGAAACAAGAUUAGAGCCAAACCAGUCAGUCAACUGUUGGUCUUUUUCACGUUUUACUAAUACUCGUAUAACUAACCUAAACAGUGCCCAUCAUUCCUGUGAAGAAAAGGAGAAGGGGCCAGGUGCGGUAGCUCACGCCUAUAAUCCCAGGACUUUGGGAGGCUGACGCCGGUGGAUCACCCGAGAUGGCAGCUCUCAAGAUCUGUCCGGAAAAGUCUAGAAGCCUCCAGAUUUCUAAUCAACAGACUAGCGCUCCUCCUCUGUAACUGAGGAACAAGAUGCCAAGGAGACAGGAGAAAGAAGAGAAUUCCCUUCAUGUCUCGGCCAUAAACCCUGAAACAGACUUGUCCAUGAGCCUUGUAAAAUAAGUUACAUU
Homo sapiens (human) is the source of this 900-nucleotide long non-coding RNA. Lineage: Eukaryota; Metazoa; Chordata; Mammalia; Primates; Hominidae. The record is from Ensembl.